RNAcentral lists this ribosomal RNA (253 nucleotides) under uncultured bacterium. Its description in RNAcentral is "partial 16S ribosomal RNA". It matches the Rfam family "Bacterial small subunit ribosomal RNA", at positions 524 to 776 of the family's 1533-position model. The record is from RNAcentral.
UACGGGGGGGGCAAGCGUUGUUCGGAAUUACUGGGCGUAAAGGGCUCGUAGGCGGCCAACUAAGUCGGAUGUGAAAUCCCCAGGCUCAACUUGGGAACUGCAUCCGAUACUGGAUGGCUUGAAUUCGGGAGAGGGAUGCAAAAUUCCAGGUGUAGCGGUGAAAUGCGUAGAUAUCUGGAGGAAUACCGGUGGCGAAGGCGGAUCUCUGGGCCAUUACUGACGCUGAGGAGCGAAAGCGUGGGGAGCGAACAGG